Molecule: ribosomal RNA, 476 nt
Filed under: uncultured anaerobic ammonium-oxidizing bacterium
Lineage: Bacteria
Description: bacterial SSU rRNA
Rfam family: Bacterial small subunit ribosomal RNA
Source: RNAcentral
UUCGCAAUGCCCGAAAGGGUGACGAAGCGACGCCGCGUGCGGGAAGAAGGCCUUCGGGUUGUAAACCGCUGUCGGGAGUUAGGAAAUGCAAGGAUGUUAAUAGCGUCUUUGCUUGACUAAGGCUCCGGAGGAAGCCACGGCUAACUCUGUGCCAGCAGCCGCGGUAAUACAGAGGCGGCAAGCGUUGUUCGGAAUUAUUGGGCGUAAAGAGCACGUAGGCGGCUGUGUAAGUCGGUUGUGAAAGCCUUCCGCUCAACGGGAGAACGGCAUCCGAUACUGCAUGGCUCGAGUGCGGGAGGGGAGAGUGGAACUUCUGGUGGAGCGGUGAAAUGCGUAGAUAUCAGAAGGAACGUCGGCGGCGAAAGCGACUCUCUGGCCUAUUACUAACACUGAGGUGCGAAAGUUAGGGGAGCAAACGGGAUUAGAUACCCCGGUAGUCCUAACCGUAACCGAUGGGCACUAAGUAGAGGGGUUUU